This 274-nucleotide ribosomal RNA is filed under the name uncultured bacterium. RNAcentral's name for it is "partial 16S ribosomal RNA". It matches the Rfam family "Bacterial small subunit ribosomal RNA", at positions 523 to 796 of the family's 1533-position model. The record is from RNAcentral.
AUACGGAGGGUGCAAGCGUUACUCAGAAUCACUGGGCGUAAAGCGCGCGCAGGCGGCUAUUUAAGUUGGAUGUGAAAGCCUAUGGCUCAACCAUAGAACUGCAUCCAAAACUAUUUAGCUAGAGUGUGGGAGAGGAAGAUGGAAUUAGUUGUGUAGGGGUAAAAUCCGUAGAGAUAACUAGGAAUACCAAAAGCGAAGGCAAUCUUCUGGAACACUACUGACGCUAAGGCGCGAAAGCAUGGGGAGCAAACAGGAUUAGAAACCCUAGUAGUCC